RNAcentral lists this ribosomal RNA (631 nucleotides) under Limosilactobacillus mucosae. RNAcentral describes it as "bacterial SSU rRNA". It matches the Rfam family "Bacterial small subunit ribosomal RNA", at positions 51 to 673 of the family's 1533-position model. The record is from RNAcentral. Lineage: Bacteria; Bacillati; Bacillota; Bacilli; Lactobacillales; Lactobacillaceae.
GAACGUGCUUGCACGGACUUGACGUUGGUUUACCACCGAGUGGCGGACGGGUGAGUAACACGUAGGUAACCUGCCCCAAAGCGGGGGAUAACAUUUGGAAACAGAUGCUAAUACCGCAUAACAAUUUGAAUCGCAUGAUUCAAAUUUAAAAGAUGGCUUCGGCUAUCACUUUGGGAUGGACCUGCGGCGCAUUAGCUUGUUGGUAGGGUAACGGCCUACCAAGGCUGUGAUGCGUAGCCGAGUUGAGAGACUGAUCGGCCACAAUGGAACUGAGACACGGUCCAUACUCCUACGGGAGGCAGCAGUAGGGAAUCUUCCACAAUGGGCGCAAGCCUGAUGGAGCAACACCGCGUGAGUGAAGAAGGGUUUCGGCUCGUAAAGCUCUGUUGUUAGAGAAGAACGUGCGUGAGAGCAACUGUUCACGCAGUGACGGUAUCUAACCAGAAAGUCACGGCUAACUACGUGCCAGCAGCCGCGGUAAUACGUAGGUGGCAAGCGUUAUCCGGAUUUAUUGGGCGUAAAGCGAGCGCAGGCGGUUUGAUAAGUCUGAUGUGAAAGCCUUUGGCUUAACCAAAGAAGUGCAUCGGAAACUGUCAGACUUGAGUGCAGAAGAGGACAGUGGAACUCCAUG